This 277-nucleotide ribosomal RNA is filed under the name uncultured Pseudomonas sp. Its description in RNAcentral is "partial 16S ribosomal RNA". It matches the Rfam family "Bacterial small subunit ribosomal RNA", at positions 1107 to 1382 of the family's 1533-position model. Lineage: Bacteria; Pseudomonadati; Pseudomonadota; Gammaproteobacteria; Pseudomonadales; Pseudomonadaceae. The record is from RNAcentral.
GUCCUUAGUUACCAGCACGUUAUGGUGGCACUCUAAGGAGACUGCCGGUGGACAAACCGGAGGAAGGUGGGGAUGACGUCAAGUCAUCAUGGCCCUUACGGCCUGGGCUACACACGUGCUACAAUGGUCGGUACAAAGGGUUGCCAAGCCGGCGAGGUGGAGCUAAUCCCAUAAAACCGAUCGUAGUCCGGAUCGCAGUCUGCAACUCGACUGCGUGAAGUCGGAAUCGCUAGUAAUCGUGAAUCAGAAUGUCACGGUGAAUACGUUCCCGGGCCUU